AGGCGAUUUAAUAAUUUUGACGUUUGUGUUUCAUAAUAGAAAUAUAUCAUAAUGACAUAUAAUAGAACAAUAUCAUAUAUAAGUUUCUAUUCAAGUUCCUUGGUUUCGGAUUUUGUCCAUACACCAUCGUCCUAUUAGGUUUCUUUUAGUUUUCUUUCCAUUAUACAAGAAAAAAUACAACAAAAUUCACCAAUGCAGAACAAUGCAAGAAGAUACACCACAUCACCAAUUUUGAUUCAAUGCAAUUAAAAAAGAAACAAAGAAACAACCAGAUGCUCCGCAGGGCGCAGCUUUAUACGACCGCAGAGGUUGAACCCUGAACGGUUGGGGCAAGUAUGGACACAACAUUCAAGCUGGAUUCAGCUCUAAAUUUGGAUUGUGAUUAAAUAGUUGACACAGCAUAGGUUUCUGACACAGAAUGAAUGUGGUCUAAUGAACUUAAAAUACUUUUUUUUCCUUUGAGCAAGUCACUAUGCUGUUGAAUAUUAAUCCUCUCAAAAAAAAGGUAUGAAGAAAUUUUCUUUUUAUGUAUGAAAUCUGAAAUGAGAAAAAUUUAACCCCCCCCCCCCCCCCCCAUUUUUUUUUUCACAUCCCCCUUUCCCUUUUUCCAAAACUGAUCUCAAUUCAAAUUUCUAAUGGAGUUUGCAACAAUAACUACUCAUUUAAAUACAUCAUAAAAUAUUAAAAUGUAACAAAAGGU
This 700-nucleotide long non-coding RNA is filed under the name Mytilus galloprovincialis (Mediterranean mussel). The record is from RNAcentral. Lineage: Eukaryota; Metazoa; Mollusca; Bivalvia; Mytilida; Mytilidae.